Long non-coding RNA from Pygocentrus nattereri (red-bellied piranha), 716 nucleotides. RefSeq lists it as uncharacterized. The transcript has 2 exons. The record is from RefSeq and is a predicted model, not a curated record. NCBI's taxonomy places the organism in Eukaryota, Metazoa, Chordata, Actinopteri, Characiformes, Serrasalmidae.
AGAGGCAGCAUGGAGAAACAGAAGCGGCAGAAAGGGGGAACGCAGAACUUGCGUGCAAAGAAAUGGAAGAGUCUCACUUUAGAUGCUGCAAAAUGCGUAAAAAUCACAGACGUGUUCGCUGCUGUAGCCACCACAUCCUCUGUAGGUGAAGACAGCAGCAGCAGCAGACAAGGAGAGGAGCAGCCAAAGAUGCGGGCUUUUGAAAGGGAAGCCGAGGGACAGACUGAGCAGGAAAGCAUAGAAUGUGUUCAUUGUUGCCGGUGACUUCAACCACUGCAACCUGAGGAGUGUCCUUCUCAAGUACCAUCAGCAAAUGAGCUUUCCGACGAGGGACAGCAACAUACUCGACCAAGUCUACAGCAACAUGACGGGGGCCUACAGGGCUGUGCCUCGGCCGCACUUCGGAUAGUCCGACCAUAUCUCCAUGUUCCUCUACCCAGCAUAUAGACAAUUCCUCAAGCAAGCACUUCCAGUGAGUAACACUAUCAAAGUGCGGAAUGAAGAAACUGACUCAGUGCUUCAGGACUGCUUUGACAGUACAGACUGGGAUGUCUUCAGAAAUGCUGCUGUGAGAGAGGACUGUACUGUUAAUCUAGAGGACUAUGCUUCUGGGGUAACGAGCUACAUCAGCAGCUGCAUUGAAAGCAGCAGCAAAGCACUGCAGAAAAUACCCCAACCAGAAACCCUGGAUAAACAGUAAAGUUUGGUCCAUGCUA